Molecule: non-coding RNA, 29 nt
Filed under: Cricetulus griseus (Chinese hamster)
Lineage: Eukaryota; Metazoa; Chordata; Mammalia; Rodentia; Cricetidae
Source: RNAcentral
AUCCUAAGGACUAGCAUUGGCAGCUGACC